This 250-nucleotide ribosomal RNA is filed under the name uncultured bacterium. Its description in RNAcentral is "partial 16S ribosomal RNA". It matches the Rfam family "Bacterial small subunit ribosomal RNA", at positions 524 to 774 of the family's 1533-position model. The record is from RNAcentral.
UACGGAGGGUCCGAGCGUUAUCCGGAAUUACUGGGUUUAAAGGGUGCGCAGGCGCCCUGUCAGUCAGAAGUGAAAUUCCGGGGCUCAACCCCGGAACUGCUUUUGAUACUGCAGGGCUCGGAUUAAGAUGAGGUAGGCGGAAUGUGGCAUGUAGCGGUGAAAUGCUUAGAUAUGCCAUGGAACACCGAUUGCGUAGGCAGCCUACUGGACUUCAAUCGACGCUGAGGCACGAAAGCGUGGGGAGCGAACG